This is a non-coding RNA of Thamnophis sirtalis, 526 nucleotides long. NCBI's taxonomy places the organism in Eukaryota, Metazoa, Chordata, Lepidosauria, Squamata, Natricidae. The record is from RefSeq and is a predicted model, not a curated record.
UUUUCCUAAGCACGGCGGCGAGGACGGUGACGACGGCAGGCGCCGCGAGGCCACGCAGCAUAUGGCGCCGCCCUUUUCCCUGCCUCACAGAGGCCUCCGCCGGCUCCUCGUUGAAAGUGGACGGGUUUUCUGAGCUCCACUUUCCACAACGCGCAGCGCGGAGGGAGUGAGAGAUCGAGGUGGAGCGGAGAACGUGCUUGUUAAAGUGGGCGGUUGCGCCCUGAUUCCCCCCUCUUGCCUGGGCUGCUUCUCUUUCCGGAAUCUGCGAGUGUUGUCCGAGGAAGCUCUGGCGAAGUGCGGGUUAUUCGGAAACGUUACACUGGCUGUCGUAAACGCGUCUAUGUAUGGCACGAGAGAAGGUCUUCCACGCGGCGUUGCUUUUUUUGUAAGCGAGAAGCGGAGAUCUUGGUCCCCUUCCUCUUCGCCUUGAACUGUGAACAGUUUGAAAGUAAGGGCAGAUUGGUUGCUGCUGGGAAAAAUACAAUUUGUUGUCUCCUCGGACCAGAUCUACUCUGGCCCUUUAAAA